GGCGGGAGAGGGUGAGAUUUAAUGCGGGACAAGAAAGAGUCAGUUUUUAUUUAUGAAUUAAAUUAGGGGUGGGCAAAAAACCCAAACCGAACCGAUCCAAACCAAACCAACCGAAGUUAAACCGAACCAAACCAAUAAUCCAAUAUAUAUAUAUUAACAUAUUGUAAAUUUUAGUUAAAUUUUCGUUUUCCGUUUUUUCUUAACUUCCAUAUAUUUUUUAAAAAAUCCAAAUAUGAUUCAAAUAAUCCUAAUACUUAAAUAUUGUACUGAAAACAAAACCUAAAAACUAUAAGCAUCUCAAUCAUAGUCAUUUCGUUUCGUUCAUCUUCUCCAAUUUUCAUUCUCUAAAUUAUGUAAUAAAGUUAUUAUAGAAUCAAUAAAAACAAAAAGGUAGAUGCAAAUAGUCUUUUAAUUAAUAGGUUUUAGAAUACUUACAAGUCUUUGUUACGCUAAUUAGAUUACAAAUAGUCUGCUUAUUGCUUAUUAUGUAUUUUUUCCUUUAACGUGGUUAGGAGUUUUGUCAUCGAGCUUUAAAUUGUUUUUUGUUUCUUAUAUUUUUAAAGAACCAAACUAAAUCUAAACCAAACCGAACUAAACUGAACCCAAACCGAACCCAAACCAAAGCUACUUUGGUUUUAAUUGGGUUGAGUUUUAUAAAACCCAAAUUAACUAAACCAAGCCGAACCCAAACC
This 692-nucleotide long non-coding RNA is filed under the name Brassica napus (rape). Its description in RNAcentral is "long non-coding RNA (BNAP_LNC010148)". Lineage: Eukaryota; Viridiplantae; Streptophyta; Magnoliopsida; Brassicales; Brassicaceae. The record is from RNAcentral.